UGCAAGAAGAGUGGCUUACCCCUAUAUUAUUCUUUUUCCUUUGAAGAUAUAAGAAGUCAAAGAAGGAUUCUGAGAUGGAAGUAUCAAAGAAAUCUUGUGCUACUAGGAAAUCUCAAGUUCCCAUCAAAAGCCCUCUCAAAGGUCAGAGCUGAAUGGCAACAGUAACACCUUUUGAAGCAGUAGUGACCAAUGGCUGUGGAAGUAUCUGCAACAAAUAGGCAAUGAUAGUCAUCCAAAGAUUCUAGAAGCUUCAGGGAGUAUGAUCCUCUACAGUGGAGAGAAAUGCUGGCUCUUCUCUGAAAAGGCACAGAUCCUAAGACGUCCAUAAAAAAAAAACGUUUAAAAAGAAAAGAAAGUUUUACACGGUCUCUAUAAAAGAAGAAAUGGAACUCUGAGAGUGGACGCAGAAAAUCAUAAGGCUAUUCCACAUGAGAACCUACCCAGGAUCAUUUUAUAGGCUGGAAGGGGGUCCCUAUGCCCAUAUAAAUUAGAGUGUGCACCUGUCUUCAAUAAGUCCACAUCAGGGCAUAAUAAGGAAGAACUUCUAAGAAAAUUCCCUUUGCAAAGUUUUGAAGAGUACCCCAGGGAACUGAGAAAUCUAGUAACUUGCUCCAGAUCUCAUAAGACUCUUUGACUAAAAGGUCAGUUGUUAUUUUCCUUAGCCAUCUUUCCUUUCUUCCAGAAGCUGCAUCUGGA
RNAcentral lists this long non-coding RNA (696 nucleotides) under Monodelphis domestica (gray short-tailed opossum). Its description in RNAcentral is "lncRNA (ENSMODG00000040620.1)". The record is from RNAcentral. Lineage: Eukaryota; Metazoa; Chordata; Mammalia; Didelphimorphia; Didelphidae.